This 71-nucleotide transfer RNA is filed under the name Cordylochernes scorpioides. Its description in RNAcentral is "tRNA-Gly". The record is from RNAcentral. Lineage: Eukaryota; Metazoa; Arthropoda; Arachnida; Pseudoscorpiones; Chernetidae.
UGCAUCGACCGGGAAUCGAACCCUGGCCGCCCGCGUGGCAGGCGAGCAUUCUACCACUGAACCACCGAUGC